UACGGAGGGUGCAAGCGUUAUCCGGAUUUAUUGGGUUUAAAGGGUUCGCAGGCGGGAAAUUAAGUCAGUGGUGAAAGCCUAUCGCUCAACGAUAGAACUGCCAUUGAUACUGAUUUUCUUGAGUGUGGUUGAAGUAGGCGGAAUGUGUCAUGUAGCGGUGAAAUGCAUAGAUAUGACACAGAACACCGAUAGCGAAGGCAGCUUACUAAACCAAUACUGACGCUCAUGAACGAAAGCGUGGGGAGCGAACAGG
Molecule: ribosomal RNA, 253 nt
Filed under: uncultured bacterium
Lineage: Bacteria
Description: partial 16S ribosomal RNA
Rfam family: Bacterial small subunit ribosomal RNA
Source: RNAcentral